AUUCCAUACCACCCUGAAUGUGCCCAAGUCUCAUCUGAUCUCGGAAGGUAACCAGGGUUGGGCCUGGUCAUUACUUAGAUGGGAGUACUAUAUAUUUCACAAAGCUAUAAGGAAGGAUU
This 119-nucleotide ribosomal RNA is filed under the name Castor canadensis (American beaver). Lineage: Eukaryota; Metazoa; Chordata; Mammalia; Rodentia; Castoridae. The record is from RNAcentral.